This 3247-nucleotide long non-coding RNA is filed under the name Salmo salar (Atlantic salmon). RNAcentral describes it as "lncRNA (ENSSSAG00000119545.1)". The record is from RNAcentral. Lineage: Eukaryota; Metazoa; Chordata; Actinopteri; Salmoniformes; Salmonidae.
GAAAGACUCUGGAAAGCAGUUGUCUUCCCCGGCUUUUUUAAGUACCUCCAUAAGGUAGGGGACCAACAGCUCCCUAAAUUCUUUAUAGAACUCUGGAGGGAAGCCAUCCUCCCCAGGAGAUUUAUUAGAAGCUCCUCAUGGCUAACAACAACAACAUGCCGCUGGGUUGGUUUCAGCUGAAUGCUUCCACCAGUACGAUAAGGUAUUCUUUUCCAUGCCCCAGGCAACUUCAUUACUAACCUUUAGACAUACGAGUUACCAUACCCGGUCUCAGGGAUGGCCAACUCUGAAAAUCUCUACAGAGUUCCCUACAACAGGAUGUCCAUGUAUGGAACAAUCUACAGAGUUCCCUACAACAGGAUGUCCAUGUAUGGAACAAUCUACAGAGUUCCCUACAACAGGAUGUCCAUGUAUGGAACAAUCUACAGAGUUCCCUACAACAGGAUGUCCAUGUAUGGAACAAUCUACAGAGUUCCCUACAACAGGAUGUCCAUGUAUGGAACAAUCUAGAGUUCCCUACAACAGGAUGUCCAUGUAUGGAACAAUCUAGAGUUCCCAACAACAGGAUAUCCAUGUAUGGAACAAUCUACAGAGUUCCCUACAACAGGACGUCCAUGUAUGGAACAGUCUAGAGUUCCCUACAACAGGAUGUUGUGGAACCUCUCGGGCAGUUCAACAUGUUGAUUGGAGACCUCUUUGCUGAUGAAUGUGAUAAUUUUUCUGCAAUGUAUUUGUAUUUUUUUAUGUAAAGGAUGUGAAGGGCUGCCUUGUGAAAAAUACAUUUGGACUGAAUGGGACUCGGUUUAAAUAUAUAUAUAUAUAUAUAAGGAAUCCAGGCAGCACCCAGUGAAAGGGGUGAAAGGGUUAGCAUAUCAGCUUGUGGGCUUUGGCACCAGGCCCUUAUUGUAAUUAACUGGCAAAUUGGCAGAUUAGUAGAGAAAUCAAGCAGAACCUGUCUGUUUGUUCGUACUGGCCGCCAGCCCUGCUUGAGUGACGGAUGGGCUGAAGAUCCUGGUGCCACUGAAUAGUGUAACUGUCAUGUCCAUGCUGGAGUGUAUUUGUAUUCAUUAUAAAUUCCCAUUACUUCCUGCCAAGGCAGCAGCUACUCUUCCUGGGGUCCGGCUAAAUUAAGGCAGUUUAUUCAAUUUAAAAACAAUUACAAUACAUUCACAGAUUUCACAACACACUGUGUGCCCUCACGCCCCUAAUCCACCACUACCACAUAUCUACAGUACAAAAUCCAUGUGUACAUGUGUGAAAAGUGCGAGUGUACAGCUGUGAAAGGCAGUGUGUGAUUAGGAAAUGCGACAGGGAGAUUUUGACGUCUUUAGUACAUUGUAAAUAGCAGUGCCUAUGGAGCUGGUUAGAGAGAUAUCGCCCUGUGUUUUGUUUUCCCUUCAAACAUGCCAUAAUUUCAUGUGGGUCGGGGGGAGUCCCACAGGAUGGUAUGGCCACAAGGGUAUUUCUUUAACAAAUUAGGUCCCUUGGCUCAUCUCUGUAACUCUUCCCUGGGCUCGGGAGAGGCAAAGGUGGAGUCAUGUGUCCUCAGAAAAGUGACCUGCCUGGCUGUCUACUUCUCAUCUCUUAACCCAGAUGUCAGCUGCACCGAUAUGUCAUAGGAAACACUGUUCGACUGACAACCGGAGUCAGCUUGCAGGCUCCCAGCCUUGUCACAAGGAGUCAUUAGGAGAACCUCUAAGAACUUUGCACCCCUGGAUUGUAAAAUAUUUGCACAUUAUUCUUUUUGAAAUUAUUCAAGCUCUGUCAAGUUGAUUGUUGAUCAUUGCUAGACAGCCAUUUUCAGGUCUUGCCAUAGAUUUUCAAAGCAACUAAGAGGACAAAUCCUCUAAUCAUCAUAUACAGUGCCUUCAGAAAAAAAGUUUUUACACAAGUAUUCACACCCCUGACUCACAGCUGCAAUUGCUGCCAAAGGUGAUUCUAACAUGUAUUGACUCAGGAGGGAAAAUACUUGUGUAAAUUCGAUAUUUCUGUAUUUCAUUUAAUACAUUUACAGAAAUGUCAAAACAUAUGUUUUUGCUUUGUCAUUAUGGGGUAUUGUGUGUAGAUGGGUGAGAGGAAAAAGUAUAUUUAAUCAAUGUUGAACUCAGGCUGUAACACAACCAGAUGUGGAAUAAGUCAGAGGGUAUGAACACUUUCUGAAGGCACUUUAUAUGAUGGGUAAGAGGAGAGAUUUGUCCUCUUAGGUGUGAACUUGCUUUUCAUCAUGGUUUUGCUGCUGCUGCCAGGGACGGACUGGGACCAGAAAUCGUCCCGGUUAUUUAUAAAAAAUAUGAUCAUAUUACUCCAGUGCUAGCCCCUCAACACUGGCUUCCUGUUAAGGCUAGGGCUGAUUUCAAGGUUUUACUGGUAACCAACAAAGCAUUACAUGGUUUUCUCCUAUCUAUCUUUCUGAUUUGGUCCUGCCGUACAUACCUACACGUACGCUAUGGUCACAAGACGCAGGCCUCCUAAUUGGUUGGAGACAUCCCUCUAGUGGUGUGGGGGCUGUGCUUUGGCAAAGUGGGUGGGGUUAUAUCCUGCCUGUUUGGCCCUGUCCGGGGGUAUCAUCGGAUGGGGCCACAGUGUCUUCUGAUCCCUCCUGUCUCAGCCUCCAGUAUUUAUGCUGCAGUAGUUUAUGUGUCGGGGGGCUAGGGUCAGUCUGUUACAUCUGGAGUAUUUCUCUUGUCUUAUCCGGUGUCCUGUGUGAAUUUAAAUAUGCUCUCUCUAAUUCUCUCUUUCUCUCUUUCUGUCUUUCUCUCGGAGGACCUGAGCCCUAGGACCAUGCCUCAGGACUACCUGGUAUGAUGACUCCUUGCUGUCCCCAGUCCACCUGGCCGUGCUGCUGCUCCAGUUUCAACUGUUCUGCCUGCGGCUAUGGAACCCUGACCUGUUCACCGGACGUGCUUGUUGCACCCUCGACAACUACUAUGAUUAUUAUUAUUUGACCAUGCUGGUCAUUUAUGAACAUUUUAACAUUUUAACAUUUUGACCAUGUUCUGUUAUAAUAUCCACCCUGCACAGCCAGAAGAGGACUGGCCACCCCUCAUAGCCUGGUUCCUCUCUAGGUUUCUUCCUAGGUUUUUGGCCUUUCUAGGGAGUUUUUCCUAGGGAGUUUUUCCUAGCCACCGUGCUUCUUUCACAUGCUUUGCUUGCUGUUUGGGGUUUUAGGCUGGGUUUCUGUACAGCACUUUGAGAAUAUCAGCUGAUGUACGAAGGGCUAUAUAAAAAUAAAUUUUUUGAAAUUUGA